Molecule: long non-coding RNA, 144 nt
Organism: Trematomus bernacchii (emerald rockcod)
Lineage: Eukaryota; Metazoa; Chordata; Actinopteri; Perciformes; Nototheniidae
Exons: 3
Source: RefSeq, a predicted model, not a curated record
UGGCUCUUCACCAUGGGGGGGAGUUGUUGGGGGGAUCAUUGGGAUCAUGAUACUCAUCUGUUUUGCUGUUGCUGCUUGGUGGUUGAAGUCCAAACAUACAACUCAAGAACAGUCACAGCAGGGGGAGCAGAUCAGGAGAGAACA